RNAcentral lists this ribosomal RNA (492 nucleotides) under uncultured bacterium. RNAcentral's name for it is "partial 16S ribosomal RNA". It matches the Rfam family "Bacterial small subunit ribosomal RNA", at positions 29 to 507 of the family's 1533-position model. The record is from RNAcentral.
AGUGAACGCUGGCGGUAGGCCUAACACAUGCAAGUCGAACGGCAGCACAGUAAGAGCUUGCUCUUACGGGUGGCGAGUGGCGGACGGGUGAGGAAUACAUCGGAAUCUACUUUUUCGUGGGGGAUAACGUAGGGAAACUUACGCUAAUACCGCAUACGACCUACGGGUGAAAGCAGGGGAUCUUCGGACCUUGCGCGAUUGAAUGAGCCGAUGUCGGAUUAGCUAGUUGGCGGGGUAAAGGCCCACCAAGGCGACGAUCCGUAGCUGGUCUGAGAGGAUGAUCAGCCACACUGGAACUGAGACACGGUCCAGACUCCUACGGGAGGCAGCAGUGGGGAAUAUUGGACAAUGGGCGCAAGCCUGAUCCAGCCAUACCGCGUGGGUGGAGAAGGCCUUCGGGUUGUAAAGCCCUUUUGUUGGGAAAGAAAAGCAGCAGGUUAAUACCCCGCUGUUCUGACGGUACCCAAAGAAAAAGCACCGGCUAACUUCGUG